This 441-nucleotide ribosomal RNA is filed under the name uncultured bacterium. RNAcentral describes it as "partial 16S ribosomal RNA". It matches the Rfam family "Bacterial small subunit ribosomal RNA", at positions 338 to 795 of the family's 1533-position model. The record is from RNAcentral.
CCUACGGGUGGCAGCAGUAGGGAAUUUUGCGCAAUGGGGGAAACCCUGACGCAGCAACGCCGCGUGAUCGAAGAAGCAUUUCGGGGUGUAAAGAUCUGUCAGCGGGGACGAAACCUGACGUUACCCACAGAGGAAGCACCGGCUAACACCGGCCCAGCAGCCGCGGUAAUCCGGGGGGUGAAAGCGUUGCCCGGAAUCAUUGGGGGUAAAGGGUCCGUAGGUGGCACGGUAAGUCUGGUGUUAAAGGCGGAAGCUCAACUACCGUAGGGCACUGGAUACUGGGGGGCUGGAAUGCGGUAGGGGUAAAGGGAAUUCCUGGUGUAGCGGUGAAAUGCGUAGAUAUUAGGAGGAACAUCGGUGGCGUAGGCGCUUUACUGGGCCGUAAUUGACGCUGAGGAACGAAAGCCGGGGUAGCAAAUGGGAUUAGAUACCCCAGUAGUC